AGGUUUGACACUUUUUAUAUUGAAUUUUUUUCUGAACUCAAUUUUUUCUGUUUGAUUAUGGGUUUAUGCUGAAUUGAAACAUAAUAUAUAUAUAGACUUUAAAAAAAAUCUUGCAUCUUUCGGGGGAUAUCAAUCCAGGCAAGUGGAAGGAUAUCAUGUUUACUGGAAGUGGUGCGGCCUAGUAAAAGUAGCAAACAGAAAGUAGAAAAAAA
This 212-nucleotide long non-coding RNA is filed under the name Mytilus galloprovincialis (Mediterranean mussel). Lineage: Eukaryota; Metazoa; Mollusca; Bivalvia; Mytilida; Mytilidae. The record is from RNAcentral.